Molecule: non-coding RNA, 287 nt
Organism: Camelina sativa (false flax)
Lineage: Eukaryota; Viridiplantae; Streptophyta; Magnoliopsida; Brassicales; Brassicaceae
Source: RefSeq, a predicted model, not a curated record
UAUACACGGACUUGGAAGCUAUUUUUGUAGGCAACUGUGAGGUUGGGAACAACAAGCGCCGGAAAGAAGAAAAGAUGUGAAGAAAUUUCCGAUGAAGUCUCGAAGAAGGCCAAGUGCGGUGGUGGCUCUACACUUUCACCGGAGAAGGAACUACCCAAAGCCAAGCUUCGAGACAAGAUCACGACUCUACAGCAAAUUGUGUCUCCCUUUGGAAAGACGGACACUGCUUCUGUGCUUCAAGAAGCCAUCACUUAUAUAAACUUUUAUCAAGAGCAAGUAAAGGUAAC